UGAGCAAGUUUCCUCGCAAUGAGAGUCUCCGCCACCAGAUUCGGCGGUGAUCAGUGAUUCACAGACCACACAGCAGUUCCCCUGCCGGCCUGUGGGGUCGCUGCUGAGCUUAACUACUGAACAACCUGUGUUCUAAGUUAAGUCAAUAAAGCGACUUAAACUGCCUACUCGGUCCUUCUUUCAGAGUCCAGGCGGACGCUACAAUAUAUUUAAAACCCCUUCAGUCCAGUAACAGCUGUGUUUAUUUGUUUUUUAAAGUCACUGGUUAGCACUGGUUGAUCUCAGUUCAUAAUAUUGCAGCAAAUAUCCAGCACAACAAACCCAGCUUUAAACCCAAACCAUCGCUGUAUAAACCGAGACAGAGGAGAAGUUUUCUUUCAGAAACAGCGAGGGUUACCUGCGUGUUUACUAAUCCGUUACUCGUUCGUGCUGGCGUUAAGAUCAUUUGCACGUUAGGUGGAUUUACAGGGCUAACGUGUAUUUAUCUUAUUAAUCUUUAGUGAUAGCAGGUAAAAUCUUGGCAAUGAAAGCUAUAUGAGUCUCGUGGCUCGAGUUUAUGGGGCGUUUGGGGACAGUAGAACCAAAACAGCUUAGCUAUGGUGGUGAGCUUCCUGAGGGCUUUGAGGAUAGUUAUCCUGGUGCGUGUCUUUCGUCUGGCCUCUCAGAAGAAAGAUCUGGAGAAGGUCACUAGAAGAAAGGUAUCUGAGAACAAAAGGCGGUAACAAAAAGGAUGGAUUUGAAUUGGAUCUCACCUAUGUCACAGGCACUCUACAGAAAUCCCAUAAAAGAAGCUGCCAUAUUUCUGGACACAAAGCAUCCCGAUCAUUACAGAGUUUACAAUCUCUGCAGUCAAAAAGGCUACGAUCCACUGUUCUUCCAUUACAGAGUGCAACGAGUGAUGAUUGACGACCAUAACGUACCGUCAUUAGACCAACCCACUCGUUAGGACUCCCCCUAUCACUAGUAAUGCCCCAACACACCAGGAGGAUGAAGACUAGCACACUCUUUCUCCGAUACAUGUGAAGUCAGCCACCGCUUCUUUUCGAGCUGCUGCUGAUGCAGCAUUGCCAAGCAGCCAGCACAUUUGGAGGAAAGCGCAGCGGCAGGUGAACCCGAGGAACCUGAGGAAAGUGGUGGGAAAUCUCGAGCCAGGUCAGACCUUGGGUUGGGUUUGGGCAGAGAACCUAAGCUCUUAUUCACAUAUUGAACUUUGUGUUCUUGUGUUCUCAGUGACAUGUUGAACUACACUGCCAGUUUGAGGGAAUGUCAUUGCCAUCCACUGCAAAGGAGGCAAAGGUGUGGGAAAGGGCAAUGGCAGUGAUCUGAAGGUGCGGAUCAUAGUGAAAAGAGAGCAGGUGUUCCAGUGUGUCUGUGCCACGCAGACGAACUGUAGGCUGUUCCCAGAUACUGAAAACAAUGCCGUGGUGAUCAGCUUUCAGGAAGGGCCAGUGGUUUGUGGUGAUGUUAAAGUCAUGUUUGAAUCCAGGGCUGGUCUUCCAAAGGGGUAUGAGGACUAUCCUUUCUAUUUCUGGUUCAACACUUCAUUUGUAGAGAACAACAGGCUCUAUCUGUCAAGGGAGGAACUGGACAACCCACGUAAGUCCAAAACCUGGGACAUCUACAAGGAGGACUUUGGUGUGACCGUGUCUUUCAGUGACCCUGCACUUAUGUAGCAGACAACACUUGCUUGUGUAUCUCAACUAAAACCCUUAAGCCCUGCACAAGGUCUAAAUAUUUGCUCUAAUGUAGGUUUUCACACACUUAUAAAAGGUGAGUGAUGUUUAGGGAUUGGAUUCGGGCAUAUUGUGCCCCUAAAGCUAUAGCUAUAGCUAUAUAACCUCAACUUUAUGUCCAUCCCCCAUCUUCACUGUAAGAGCUUUUUACUGAGCCGUGCAUACAUCACAAUAUUAUGCAUUUGUUUGUCAAAUGUUUUUUUGUCUUUAAAUGAAGACAAAUGUUUGUGUCAGUUUAGCAUAUUAUGCUUCCAAAAUGUAAAUCUUACUCUUUAAGCUUGAGUGUACAUCAAAUAAAGCAAUCGAGGCUGCCACUGUGAAAUGGUCAAUGGUUAUGUGUGCAGAAACAUUUUUUUGUAGUACACAUGUAUUGAAAUAAAUACUAAUGUCUCUGUAA
RNA transcript from Astyanax mexicanus (Mexican tetra), 2130 nucleotides. It is a transcript of the gene named antigen WC1.1-like, with no coding region annotated. NCBI's taxonomy places the organism in Eukaryota, Metazoa, Chordata, Actinopteri, Characiformes, Acestrorhamphidae. The transcript is spliced from 12 exons. The record is from RefSeq and is a predicted model, not a curated record.